This 776-nucleotide ribosomal RNA is filed under the name uncultured Neocallimastigales. RNAcentral's name for it is "partial large subunit ribosomal RNA". It matches the Rfam family "Eukaryotic large subunit ribosomal RNA", at positions 18 to 634 of the family's 3401-position model. The record is from RNAcentral. Lineage: Eukaryota; Fungi; Neocallimastigomycota; Neocallimastigomycetes; Neocallimastigales.
UCAGACGAUGCGUCAUGCAUAUCAAUAAGCGGAGGAAAAGAAACUAACAAGGAUUCCCUUAGUAACGGCGAGUGAAGCGGGAAGAGCUCAAAUUUGAAAUCUUCAAGGUUUUACCUUGACGAAUUGUAGUUUAAAGAAGUGUUUUCUGUUGAAGUUUUGGUAAAAGUUCUUUGGAAUAGGACAUCAUAGAGGGUGAGAAUCCCGUAUUUGACCAUUAUUUUCAGCUGUGUGAUACACUUUCAAAGAGUCGGAUUGUUUGGGAAUGCAGUCCAAAAUGGGUGGUAAAUUUCAUCUAAAGCUAAAUACUGGCGAGAGACCGAUAGCGAACAAGUACCGUGAGGGAAAGAUGAAAAGAACUUUGAAAAGAGAGUUAAACAGUACGUGAAAUUGUCAAAAGGGAAGCGUUUGACACCAGUGUUGUUUUCUCGAAAAUCAAUUAAAAAUGAGUUAGAUUUUGUAUGUGUAUUGACCUUAACAGCUUCACUGUACAUUUUCGUGUCUUUUUUAAUGCACUUUUCGUUUAACAAGUCAACAUCAGUUUCUUUUGUUGUAAAAGGGUCAUUGGAAGGUGGCUUUCUUUUCGGAGAAAGUGUUUAUAGCCUUUGACUCCUGCAAUCGAAGAGACUGAGGUCUGCAGCGUAGACUCUUCGGGGUUAGAUACAUUUGUGCUAAGUUAUAGCUUUUUAUAGACAACUUGUUGACUAUGAUUAGUCUUGUAGCUUACUCGCUUAUGCUAUUUUACCUACGCUUAGGAUGUUGAGUCGUAGAGCACGCAG